Molecule: ribosomal RNA, 253 nt
Filed under: uncultured bacterium
Lineage: Bacteria
Description: partial 16S ribosomal RNA
Rfam family: Bacterial small subunit ribosomal RNA
Source: RNAcentral
UACGUAGGGUGCAAGCGUUAAUCGGAAUUACUGGGCGUAAAGCGUGCGCAGGCGGUUUUGUAAGUCAGAUGUGAAAUCCCCGGGCUUAACCUGGGAACUGCGUUUGAAACUACAAGGCUAGAGUGUGGCAGAGGGGGGUGGAAUUCCACGUGUAGCAGUGAAAUGCGUAGAGAUGUGGAGGGACACCGAUGGCGAAGGCAGCCCCCUGGGUUAACACUGACGCUCAGGCACGAAAGCGUGGGGAGCAAACAGG